GGCGACCUGGUGCAAUGGUAGCAUCCCACCCUCAUAAGGUGAAGAUUUCAGUUCGAAUCUGGAGGUCGCAA
Molecule: transfer RNA, 71 nt
Filed under: Paraflavitalea soli
Lineage: Bacteria; Pseudomonadati; Bacteroidota; Chitinophagia; Chitinophagales; Chitinophagaceae
Rfam family: tRNA
About the family: Transfer RNA (tRNA) molecules are approximately 80 nucleotides in length. Their secondary structure includes four short double-helical elements and three loops (D, anti-codon, and T loops). Further hydrogen bonds mediate the characteristic L-shaped molecular structure. tRNAs have two regions of fundamental functional importance: the anti-codon, which is responsible for specific mRNA codon recognition, and the 3' end, to which the tRNAs corresponding amino acid is attached (by aminoacyl-tRNA synthetases). tRNAs cope with the degeneracy of the genetic code in two manners: having more than one tRNA (with a specific anti-codon) for a particular amino acid; and 'wobble' base-pairing, i.e. permitting non-standard base-pairing at the 3rd anti-codon position.
Source: Rfam by way of RNAcentral